This 466-nucleotide ribosomal RNA is filed under the name uncultured bacterium. RNAcentral's name for it is "bacterial SSU rRNA". It matches the Rfam family "Bacterial small subunit ribosomal RNA", at positions 197 to 644 of the family's 1533-position model. The record is from RNAcentral.
UGGAGGAAAGUAGGGGAUCGAAAGACCUUGCGCUUUCGGAGCGGCCGAUGUCUGAUUAGCUAGUUGGUGGGGUAAUGGCCUACCAAGGCGACGAUCAGUAGCUGGUCUGAGAGGACGACCAGCCACACUGGAACUGAGACACGGUCCAGACUCCUACGGGAGGCAGCAGUGGGGAAUUUUGGACAAUGGGCGCAAGCCUGAUCCAGCCAUUCCGCGUGAGUGAAGAAGGCCUUCGGGUUGUAAAGCUCUUUCGCAAGGGAAGAAACGAUGCAGUCGAAUAAACUGCGUUAAUGACGGUACCUUGAUAAGAAGCACCGGCUAACUACGUGCCAGCAGCCGCGGUAAUACGUAGGGUGCGAGCGUUAAUCGGAAUUACUGGGCGUAAAGCGUGCGCAGGCGGUUUUGUAAGUCAGAUGUGAAAUCCCCGGGCUCAACCUGGGAACUGCGUUUGAAACUACAAAGCAGA